ACUUCAAUCACUGAUUCCGGGUCAGACGUUAGUAAAUGAAUUACUUUAAUAACUAAAGCAAAUUCGAGAUUAGUCGUAAAACUACUCAACGCUAUGGUGAUAAUUCAUAGUUGAUUGUAACACCACACGUAUGUAUUUAUUUUAAACAUAAUGUUUAAAUUAAAUAAUAAUUAGAGUGUGGCUGUAACGUGUCUCAAUAUUGUUUUAGAGACCAGCUGUAAACCACUCAUACAUUUUUAGAAAAUAUUAAAAUUAUAUACAAAAAUGUUAAUACCAAGUAUGUCUUUGUAGAAUGAACAAUUCGAAAAAUUUCCCAGAGUUAAAAACAAACAAACUACUUUAAAAACUAAAAAUAGUCUAGAACGAGGAGCAGACAAGACGGUUAUUGAAAAAAAAAAUUAAUAAGAAAAACCGAUGAAAUUAGUCAUACAAAGAAUAAUAAAAUGUAUGAUAAUCGUAUAAAUUGAUUAUUUGUUUUUCAUAUAGAAUACGUCAUACAGAGAGUGUGUAUAAUUAUAAUUAUAAUUAUGAUCUUUUAAAAUCAUAAGAUUAUGAAUCAGAAGUAAAGAAUUGGAUUACUUUCCACAAGGUGGUGGUACUGUAACAAUAAAAUGUUCUUUUGAAGAAAAACCAACAGAAUACUGGAGCUUGGUUCAUUAUAAAAGCUCUAACAUCGAGAGUGUACCUGUGAAACACUGAAACACUGGUAAGUACAAGACAUUGAGAUCUUAAAUUUGAAAAAAUGAAUGUUUAAAAAAAGAUAUUUCAAUAAACGUUUCAAAUGACAAAGCUUACCGUUCGAUUUAAAUCAAAUAUCAUUAUAUGAACUAUGUAAAAUGUCAAAAUUAAAUAUAAUCUAUACAAUCGAAACAUUAAUAUUCGAAAUAAUUAGCUAGCCGUCGACUGUGUACGGCUGCUGCGAGUGUAGGGAUCUCUAAGAGCAUGAGAUAAUAGUCACAAUCAUAAUAAUUAAAACACGGGUACUUAUUACCACAUACAACGAGGUUCUAGAAAGGAACGUCACACACAUAAUAUUUUAUAAGCCUUACAAAUCAAAAUACAUAUAUUGUCGCCGUGAUAUCGACCAUCGAACACUACCCCGGAUGAACACAAACCAGAUGCAGAGAAUCACUCCAAAAACCGUCGCAUAAGGUCAGUGAUCGAAUAUAUAUAUAUAUAUAUAAUAAGUAUAACAUUAGGUCUGAUAAUAACUUACAAGUUAUUCAAAAUAUAUACUAACCGUAGAUACCGUAGUCAUAGAAUAAUCGUGCCUAGAGUGGAAGUAACAAGAUUAUAGAAAAAAAAAAAAAAAAAGAAUUUCUUU
Molecule: long non-coding RNA, 1324 nt
Organism: Acyrthosiphon pisum (pea aphid)
Lineage: Eukaryota; Metazoa; Arthropoda; Insecta; Hemiptera; Aphididae
Exons: 2
Source: RefSeq, a predicted model, not a curated record